Colias croceus (clouded yellow) is the source of this 626-nucleotide long non-coding RNA. RefSeq lists it as uncharacterized. The record is from RefSeq and is a predicted model, not a curated record. The transcript has 4 exons. Lineage: Eukaryota; Metazoa; Arthropoda; Insecta; Lepidoptera; Pieridae.
UUCAUCUGAGUGGUUCUGGUGUAAUGGCCUUUGGUUUCAUUAUACUCACAUGCAUCCUAGCAUUCGGAGCAUAUUGGACGACCAAGUACAUGAUAAUGCCCGGUGAAAUAUAUAUAAAAAAUUAUAGAGGCGCAUCUGCAGAAACGACAUCAGCUACCACCGCGACCGUUGAGACCACCAUAGGAUCCGACAUAGGAGAUAUAACAGAACCAAACAUUGGAAACAACACGUCCUCUUUUGACGUUUUUGAUUCAUAAUUAAAUUGCCAAUUUUAUUCUUAAAACGUUAUUAACAAAUAUUAUAUUUGUUUGUUAUAUAAUUUGUGUCAAAACAGUCGCAGGAUGUUUGUUAAAUUAGUGGUUAUAAAAACUGUUUGUGCAUAUUUUGCGCGUAAGAUUGAAUUAAUAUUUUGGCGAGGUGCAGGUGUGAAGUGUAAAAUGGUUGUCGCUGGAACCCUUCUGAUAUUUGGUGCUCUCAUGGUAACCCUGCUAUUGGGUACAAGACAUUUAUUUCAAAUGGAUCGCUUCAAUAAUGAAAUACCCAUCACUAAUCUUACAGGAAUUGAUGAACAAAAUAAAUAUGUGAAACUAGUUUUGCGAAGGGCCAAAAGGAAUGUCAUUAUGUAA